CAUUGGCUCAANCAAUGUAUGCUUUGGAAACUGUUAGACUUGAGUGCAGAAGGGGAGAGUGGAAUUCCAUGUGUAGCGGUGAAAUGCGUAGAUAUAUGGAGGAACACCGGUGGCGAAAGCGGCUCUCUGGUCUGUCACUGACGCUGAGGCUNGAAAGCGUGGGUAGCGAACAGGAUUAGAUACCCUGGUAGUNCACGCCGUAAACGCUGAGUGCUAGGUGUUAGGUCCUUUCCGGGACUUAGUGCCGACGCUAACGCAUUAAGCACUCCGCCUGGGGAGUACGACCGCAAGGUUGAAACUCAAAGGAAUUGACGGGGGCCCGCACAAGCGGUGGAGCAUGUGGUUUAAUUCGAAGCAACGCGAAGAACCUUACCAGGUCUUGACAUCCCGAUGCCCGCUCUAGAGAUAGAGUUUUUCUUCGGAACAUCGGAGACAGGUGGUGCAUGGUUGUCGUCAGCUCGUGUCGUGAGAUGUUGGGUUAAGUCCCGCAACGAGCGCAACCCUUAUUGUUAGUUGCCAUCAUUAAGUUGGGCACUCUAGCGAGACUGCCGGUAAUAAACCGGAGGAAGGUGGGGAUGACGUCAAAUCAUCAUGCCCCUUAUGACCUGGGCUACACACGUGCUACAAUGGUUGGUACAACGAGUCGCAAGCCGGUGACGGCAAGCUAAUUUCUGAAAGCCAAUCUCAGUUCGGAUUGUAGGCUGCAACUCGCCUACAUGAAGUCGGAAUCGCUAGUAAUCGCGGAUCAGCACGCCGCGGUGAAUACGUUCCCGGGCCUUGUACACACCGCCCGUCACACCACGAGAGUUUGUAACACCCAAAGUCGGUGAGGUAACCAUUUAUGGGGCCAGCCGCCUAAGGUGGGA
This 866-nucleotide ribosomal RNA is filed under the name uncultured bacterium. RNAcentral's name for it is "bacterial SSU rRNA". It matches the Rfam family "Bacterial small subunit ribosomal RNA", at positions 602 to 1467 of the family's 1533-position model. The record is from RNAcentral.